This 457-nucleotide ribosomal RNA is filed under the name uncultured Limnothrix sp. Its description in RNAcentral is "bacterial SSU rRNA". It matches the Rfam family "Bacterial small subunit ribosomal RNA", at positions 20 to 524 of the family's 1533-position model. The record is from RNAcentral. Lineage: Bacteria; Bacillati; Cyanobacteriota; Cyanophyceae; Pseudanabaenales; Pseudanabaenaceae.
UGGCUCAGGAUGAACGCUGGCGGUAUGCUUAACACAUGCAAGUCGAACGGUCUCUUCGGAGAUAGUGGCGGACGGGUGAGUAACGCGUAAGAAUCUACCUACAGGUUCGGGACAACAGUUAGAAAUGACUGCUAAUACCGGAUGUGCCUUCGGGUGAAAGUUUUAAUGCCUGUAGAUGAGCUUGCGUCCGAUUAGCUAGAUGGUGAGGUAAGAGCUUACCAUGGCGACGAUCGGUAGCGGGUCUGAGAGGAUGACCCGCCACACUGGGACUGAGACACGGCCCAGACUCCUACGGGAGGCAGCAGUGGGGAAUUUUCCGCAAUGGGCGAAAGCCUGACGGAGCAAUACCGCGUGAGGGACGAAGGUCUGUGGAUUGUAAACCUCUUUUGUUAGGGACGAUGAUGACGGUACCUAACGAAUAAGCAUCGGCUAACUCCGUGCCAGCCGCCGCCGUAAC